UUUCCGUAGGUGAACCUACGGAAGGAUCAUUAAUGAGAACUAAGGGUAGUAGUCUCGGCUAUUACUCUGAACACUCCACCCUUUGUUUAUAUUACCUUUGUUGCUUUAGCAGGCCCGCUCUCGAGCCGCCGGCACCUGCUGGCUAGUGCCUGCUAAAGAACCUAAAACUCUUGUUAAUAAUAUUGUCUGAGUACUAUAUAAUAGUUAAAACUUUCAACAACGGAUCUCUUGGUUCUG
RNAcentral lists this unclassified non-coding RNA (237 nucleotides) under plant metagenome. Its description in RNAcentral is "partial contains small subunit ribosomal RNA, internal transcribed spacer 1, and 5.8S ribosomal RNA". The record is from RNAcentral.